UCCGAAUUGGUGUAAUGGCUAACAUAUGUCGCUCUCAACUCAUCUGCACUCGUUGUGCAGAUGUUGGGAAGUGCCGACAUGCCCGGGGUUCGAUUCCCCGAUUCGGAG
Non-coding RNA from Astrocystis sublimbata, 108 nucleotides. The record is from the annotation of a GenBank genome assembly. Lineage: Eukaryota; Fungi; Ascomycota; Sordariomycetes; Xylariales; Xylariaceae.